Molecule: long non-coding RNA, 772 nt
Organism: Mobula hypostoma (lesser devil ray)
Lineage: Eukaryota; Metazoa; Chordata; Chondrichthyes; Myliobatiformes; Myliobatidae
Exons: 3
Source: RefSeq, a predicted model, not a curated record
CCCAGAUCACGGAGCCAAUGUAAUCAAAUCCAUGGUGGACCCAGAUCCUAGAAUCGGGAUUGUGUGCGCUGAUCCCUUGCACUGGAUACCCCACCAGGACAUUGACACUACAGAUGAUGUUCCACAUUCAACUGUACAAAAUCUUGGAUGGAUUUUGGAAAGCACAAGUUCCUGGGGAAAACCACAGGAGGGAGAAUGCAGAACAACUCGACUCCACGACACAGCGAAAAUAAUCCUUAACUACGUGCAGGUCACCAAGGUGCCUCCGCAAGUAAUGAGGACAUGAUAAAUUUCACACAACAGUUAUAAGGGUUCUUUUGAAGACCCUGACCUGGAUUUACACGCUGACUUCGGUUCUUUGCGGGAAUGGGACCCGUUCUUCGGGUUUCAGGCCUGGCCAUUGUUAGCAACGUCAAGGAUUCUGCCUGAGAGUCCGGCUUGGAUUUGGAAGCCUAAGAUCUCGGGGCUCUCAAGACAGGUGGAUCGAGAGUCGAUAUCAUGGCAGGAGACCCAUGUGUCAUCAGGGGAGUUGGAAAAUCUACUGCUGUGGGCCCAAAGACCUGGGAUCUUUGAGAUCUUCAGGCACAGAGCUCGAAAAAAAAGUGAUGUAACUGACUCUUAACAUCAUAAACCAGUGAGUUGUUUGUUAUGUCUCCCCACUCGCUGGGAAAAUGGAGACACCUCUUUCUCCCUUAUCAGGGAGCGAGAGAUAACCUGUGGUAUGUCGAAUACUGGGUGAAACACGAAGUCUUUGGGGUAACUGCAAGUCUGU